GAUGAACGCUGGCGGCGUGCUUAACACAUGCAAGUCGAACGAGAAGUGAAGACGGAAACCUUCGGGCGGAAGGCUUUAUUUCGAGUGGCGGACGGGUGAGUAACGCGUGGGUAACCUGCCUCAUACAGGGGGAUAACAGUUGGAAACGACUGUUAAUACCGGAUAAGACCACAGCACCGCAUGGUGCGGGGGUAAAAACUCCGGUGGUAUGAGAUGGACCCGCGUUCGAUUAGCCAGUUGGCGGGGUAACGGCCCACCAAAGCGACGAUCGAUAGCCGAUCUGAGAGGAUGACCGGCCACAUUGGGACUGAGACACGGCCCAAACUCCUACGGGAGGCAGCAGUGGGGAAUAUUGCACAAUGGGGGAAACCCUGAUGCAGCGACGCCGCGUGAGUGAAGAAGUAUUUCGGUAUGUAAAGCUCUAUCAGCAGGGAAGAAAAUGACGGUACCUGAGUAAGAAGCCCCGGCUAACUACGUG
This 478-nucleotide ribosomal RNA is filed under the name uncultured bacterium. RNAcentral's name for it is "partial 16S ribosomal RNA". It matches the Rfam family "Bacterial small subunit ribosomal RNA", at positions 28 to 507 of the family's 1533-position model. The record is from RNAcentral.